This 253-nucleotide ribosomal RNA is filed under the name uncultured bacterium. RNAcentral describes it as "partial 16S ribosomal RNA". It matches the Rfam family "Bacterial small subunit ribosomal RNA", at positions 524 to 776 of the family's 1533-position model. The record is from RNAcentral.
UACGUAGGGUGCAAGCGUUGCCCGGAUUUAUUGGGCGUAAAGAGCGUGUAGGCGGCCAUGUAGGUCCGGUGUGAAAACUCGAGGCUUAACCUCGAGAUGUCAUCGGAAACCAUUUGGCUAGAGUCCGGAAGAGGAGAGUGGAAUUCCUGGUGUAGCGGUGAAAUGCGCAGAUAUCAGGAAGAACACCAAUGGCGAAAGCAGCUCUCUGGGACGGUACUGACGCUGAGACGCGAAAGCGUGGGGAGCGAACAGG